Molecule: long non-coding RNA, 1205 nt
Filed under: Drosophila guanche
Lineage: Eukaryota; Metazoa; Arthropoda; Insecta; Diptera; Drosophilidae
Source: RNAcentral
AAACACCCAAACUGGAACAGACCCUCUCACCAUCCAAAUCACAUCAACUCGUCAGGAAAUAGGCUGGAGGAAUGGCUAGCAAACCAACUCUUCGUAAACCUACUCCCAACCGAAGAACCCACACGCCCAAAUCCGACGGGAGACUCCUCAAUAGACUACUUCAUAGCAUCAUCCUCAAUACCAAUAGACAACCACACAUAUACAUUCGGCUGCAAAACCAUCAAAGACUUCCCUUCAGACCACUUUGGCAUAACAAUCAACAUAAAUCUAGGACACAACCGACUAACAUACAACCAACCAAAGUCCUUACAUAACUUCCAAAAAAUAAACCCCAUCCACUGGAACACAAUCAUCCUUCAGAACCUGAGACAAAUUCCAAACACCCAAAACAUAAACUCAGCUGACAUAGAUGGUCACGUCCAAACAUUAACAUAUGCAAUAGACAGAGCUUUAAAUUCCAGUGAAGCAAUUCCAAAAAUCACCCUAAGCCCGAAUAACCCCAACAAUCCGUUUGUCCGACUUAGCCAAUACUGCCUAAACCUAAUCAAAAGAAAGCGAAAACUCAGACGCGUUCUUUUCCGCCGCACAUCCACACUGACAGCCAGCCAAAGGACGCAAAUAAAAAACUUAAUAAAAGACUUGGACAUACAGAUUACCUGCCAUGUAGAGUUUGCAGAACUGAAAUCAAUAGACCAAAAACUGCGCAAAGUAAACCCAAGCAAAAUCAGCCACAAAACACUCCAAGCCCUUAAUCCUAACACGCCGCCAAAAGAACAACUUGCGCACGAUAUUCAACUGACGAAUGAAGAAGCAGCUCUUAUCGACCUGGACUACAGCACAUCUCCAACCAUUAGCUCCACCUUCGACAAAAUCAAUGCUCUCGCGUGGUCCUUUGAAAGAGUCCAUAGCCAGAACGCUAACAUCACUGACUCAGACCCUGUUCUUAGGGCACACUCAACCUAUGUUAACGAAAGCAUAGCCCAAACCGUAUCCACAACACUAAAUACGUACAAAACUACAUUUAAUACUUACAAAACAGCAGGACGCUGAGCUGUCCCUAAUAAGAUCGGUCCCAGCAGGCGUUCCACAAGGAUCACUGCUGGCGCCCACCUUAUACAACAUUUACCUGGCCGACAUGCCCGACUACCAAACCCCUACCGGAUCUACCACAAAAAUCAAAGCACUAAUAUAUGCUGAUGAUAUCC